GCUGUGAUGGCCAAGUGGUUAAGGAGUUGGACUUGAAAUCCACUAGGGUUCCCUUGCGCAGGUUUGAAUCCUGCUCACAGCG
Molecule: non-coding RNA, 82 nt
Organism: Mauremys reevesii (Reeves's turtle)
Lineage: Eukaryota; Metazoa; Chordata; Testudines; Geoemydidae
Source: the annotation of a RefSeq genome assembly